AUGGGGUGAGCUGUUCAAGCAGACGUGGUCCUGGCCUCUCUUUAAGCUUAUAGUUUAGCAGGACACGUUCUAAACUGAUAUCGUUGUAGGAAGGGAAAUCUCUGGGUCCUGGCCCAUCCCUGGGGUAACCGCUAGAGCCUUCCAAGGGGAGUUCGGAGGAAGACACCGGAUCUCCGAGGGCCAAGGCCUGGGGAGGAGCCAAAACUUCUAGAGCUUCCGGGAAGGAUGUUCCGCAUAGGCUUGGCUUGUCUUCCCGGCAGGGAAAACCCAGAAGGACCCGGGCGGGCGGAGACUGCGGGCACCAAUGGCCGGGCCCGCACCGCCCUCCUCCGGAAACUCCCUGGGGAUUGGCUGUCUGCACCCACCUGCCGUCCACUCCUUGUUCCCCGCUCCUGUCCGGAGGCUUCCUGGGGAUUGGCUGCCCACCCCGCGGCCCUCCUCCCGCCCCGCCCCGUCUGCCGUGUCUGCGCCGCACGCCAGUCACCGGCCUCAGUUUCGCAGUUGAGCGGGCGCAGCCGCCGCUACUUUGUAGCGGGUUCGGGGCCCGACCCCGGCUGCGGCAGUAAGAGCGGAUCUCGGACCCACUGUGGGCCUGGGAGUUUGUCUCCGACGUCUGCGGUGCAGCGGCCUGAGUUCUAAGCGCAGGUUGAAAACUACAGAUACAAGCCAUUGAAGCUGGAAUGCACUGAUGCUGGUAUUUUAACUGACUUACACCAAUUAUCACUCUGCAGUUCUUAUACGCAAGUGCCUCUAAUGAAGUCAGCUAGCCUCACAUACAUAAUAUGGAGCAGCCACGUGUCUGCACUGGCACAUGUGUUAGUGCAGUGGGGUAAUGCUGCUGGUGAGAAGGCAGUGUAGCAUGUGCUUUAUUUUCAUCUUUUCAGUUAGAUUCUCACGACUCUAUGAAGUUGAUACACAGUUGACCCUUAAGGAACAUGGGUUUGAACUUUGUCGGUCCACUUAUACACGGAUAUUUUUCUAUAGUAAAUACUUCAGUACUAUACUGUC
Molecule: non-coding RNA, 1008 nt
Organism: Vicugna pacos (alpaca)
Lineage: Eukaryota; Metazoa; Chordata; Mammalia; Artiodactyla; Camelidae
Source: RefSeq, a predicted model, not a curated record